Molecule: ribosomal RNA, 440 nt
Filed under: uncultured bacterium
Lineage: Bacteria
Description: partial 16S ribosomal RNA
Rfam family: Bacterial small subunit ribosomal RNA
Source: RNAcentral
CCUACGGGAGGCAGCAGUGGGGAAUAUUGCACAAUGGGGGAAACCCUGAUGCAGCGACGCCGCGUGAGUGAAGAAGUAUUUCGGUACGUAAAUCUCUAUCAGCAGGGAAGAAAAUGACGGUACCUGACUAAGAAGCCCCGGCUAACUACGUGCCAGCAGCCGCGGUAAUACGUAGGGGGCAAGCGGUAUCCGGAUGUACUGGUUGUAAAGGGAGCGUAGACGGCAGCGCAAGUCUGGAGUGAAAGCCCAUGGCUUAACCAUGGAACUGCUUUGGAAACUGUGCAGCUAGAGUGCAGGAGAGGUAAGCGGAAUUCCUAGUGUAGCGGUGAAAUGCGUAGAUAGUAGGAGGAACACCAGUGGCGAAGGCGGCUUACUGGACUGUAACUGACGUUGAGGCUCGAAAGCGUGGGGAGCAAACAGGAUUAGAUACCCUUGUAGUC